This 925-nucleotide ribosomal RNA is filed under the name uncultured bacterium. RNAcentral describes it as "bacterial SSU rRNA". It matches the Rfam family "Bacterial small subunit ribosomal RNA", at positions 8 to 916 of the family's 1533-position model. The record is from RNAcentral.
AGAGUUUGAUCAUGGCUCAGGACGAACGCUGCGGCGUGCCUAAUACAUGCAAGUAGAACGCUGAAGAAAGGAGCUUGCUUCUUUUGGAUGAGUUGCGAACGGGUGAGUAACGCGUAGGUAACCUGCCUUGUAGCGGGGGAUAACUAUUGGAAACGAUAGCUAAUACCGCAUAACAGCUUUUGACACAUGUUAGAAGCUUGAAAGAUGCAAUUGCAUCACUACGAGAUGGACCUGCGUUGUAUUAGCUAGUAGGUAGGGUAACGGCCUACCUAGGCGACGAUACAUAGCCGACCUGAGAGGGUGAUCGGCCACACUGGGACUGAGACACGGCCCAGACUCCUACGGGAGGCAGCAGUAGGGAAUCUUCGGCAAUGGGGGCAACCCUGACCGAGCAACGCCGCGUGAGUGAAGAAGGUUUUCGGAUCGUAAAGCUCUGUUGUAAGAGAGGAACGUGUGUGAGAGUGGAAAGUUCACACAGUGACGGUAACUUACCAGAAAGGGACGGCUAACUACGUGCCAGCAGCCGCGGUAAUACGUAGGUCCCGAGCGUUGUCCGGAUUUAUUGGGCGUAAAGCGAGCGCGGGCGGUUUAAUAAGUCUGAAGUUAAAGGCAGUGGCUUAACCAUUGUUCGCUUUGGAAACUGUUAAACUUGAGUGCAGAAGGGGAGAGUGGAAUUCCAUGUGUAGCGGUGAAAUGCGUAGAUAUAUGGAGGAACACCGGUGGCGAAAGCGGCUCUCUGGUCUGUAACUGACGCUGAGGCUCGAAAGCGUGGGGAGCAAACAGGAUUAGAUACCCUGGUAGUCCACGCCGUAAACGAUGAGUGCUAGGUGUUAGGCCCUUUCCGGGGCUUAGUGCCGCAGCUAACGCAUUAAGCACUCCGCCUGGGGAGUACGACCGCAAGGUUGAAACUCAAAGGAAUUGACGG